GACGAACGCUGGCGGCGUGCUUAACACAUGCAAGUCGAACGGAAAGGCCCUGCUUUUGUGGGGUGCUCGAGUGGCGAACGGGUGAGUAACACGUGAGUAACCUGCCCUUGACUUUGGGAUAACUUCAGGAAACUGGGGCUAAUACCGGAUAGGAGCUCCUGCUGCAUGGUGGGGGUUGGAAAGUUUCGGCGGUUGGGGAUGGACUCGCGGCUUAUCCGCUUGUUGGUGGGGUAGUGGCUUACCAAGGCGUUGACGGGUAGCCGGCCUGUGAGGGUGACCGGCCACAUUGGGACUGAGGUGCGGCCCAGACUCCGACGGGAGGCAACAGUGGGGAAUAUUGCACAAUGGGCGGAAGCCUGAUGCAGCAACGCCGCGUGCGGGAUGACGGCCUUCGGGUUGUAAACCGCUUUCGCCUGUGACGAAGCGUGAGUGACGGUAAUGUGUAAAGAAGCACCGGCUAACUACGUG
This 468-nucleotide ribosomal RNA is filed under the name uncultured bacterium. RNAcentral's name for it is "partial 16S ribosomal RNA". It matches the Rfam family "Bacterial small subunit ribosomal RNA", at positions 28 to 507 of the family's 1533-position model. The record is from RNAcentral.